GGAUCGAUGAUGACUAAAAUUAUGGAUCUCCUUGGAAUCUGAACAAAAUGAGUGACAGAAUCACUUCUGUGGAGCUGAGGUCC
Loxodonta africana (African savanna elephant) is the source of this 83-nucleotide small nucleolar RNA. Its record names the gene SNORD116. It matches the Rfam family "Small nucleolar RNA SNORD116". From Rfam's summary of the family: HBII-85 is a member of the C/D class of snoRNAs, which contain the C (UGAUGA) and D (CUGA) box motifs. HBII-85 is encoded in a tandemly repeated array with another C/D snoRNA, HBII-52, in the Prader-Willi syndrome (PWS) region of chromosome 15. Lineage: Eukaryota; Metazoa; Chordata; Mammalia; Proboscidea; Elephantidae. The record is from Ensembl.